GCCCCCCAAGCUCCGCCCACCCCCGGGACCCCCAGCCCCGCCCCCACCGGGACCUCCCAAAGCUCCACCCCAGGCUCCGCCCACCCCGGGGGGCUCCGCCCUGAGCCCGGAAGGAGCUCGGGGGGCUCCACCCCCAGCCCAGGCACCUCCAGGCCUCUCCUCCCACCGGGCCGCGACCCCUCCGUGACCUCCACCACCACCACCACCACCCCCACCCCCUCCA
This is a non-coding RNA of Pseudopodoces humilis (Tibetan ground-tit), 223 nucleotides long. NCBI's taxonomy places the organism in Eukaryota, Metazoa, Chordata, Aves, Passeriformes, Paridae. The record is from RefSeq and is a predicted model, not a curated record.